UACGUAGGGUGCGAGCGUUGUCCGGAAUUAUUGGGCGGAAAGAGCUCGUAGGCGGUCUGUCGCGUCGGUCGUGAAAACUUGGGGCUUAACCCUGAGCUUGCGGUCGAUACGGGCAUGACUGGAGUUCGGCAGGGGAGACUGGAAUUCCUGGUGUAGCGGUGAAAUGCGCAGAUAUCAGGAGGAACACCGGUGGCGAAGGCGGGUCUCUGGGCCGAUACUGACGCUGAGGAGCGAAAGCGUGGGGAGCGAACAGG
RNAcentral lists this ribosomal RNA (254 nucleotides) under uncultured bacterium. RNAcentral's name for it is "partial 16S ribosomal RNA". It matches the Rfam family "Bacterial small subunit ribosomal RNA", at positions 524 to 776 of the family's 1533-position model. The record is from RNAcentral.